Molecule: ribosomal RNA, 467 nt
Filed under: uncultured bacterium
Lineage: Bacteria
Description: partial 16S ribosomal RNA
Rfam family: Bacterial small subunit ribosomal RNA
Source: RNAcentral
GACGAACGCUGGCGGCGUGCUUAACACAUGCAAGUCGAACGGAAAGGCCCCUUUCGGGGGGUACUCGCGUGGCGAACGGGUGAGUAACACGUGAGUAACCUGCCCUUUACUUUGGGAUAACACCAGGAAAAUGGGGCUAUUACCGGAUAGGAGCUCCUGCUCCGUGGUGGGGGUUGGGAAGUUUCGGGGGGUGGGGGUGGACUCGCGGGUCAUCAGCUUGUUGGUGGGGUAGUGGCUUACCCAGGGUUUGUCGGGUAGCCGGGCUGUGAGGGGGACCGGCCACAUUGGGGAUGAGAUUAGGGCCAGAAGCCGACGGGGGGGAGGAGGGGGGAAUAAUGCACAAUGGGGGGGAGCCUGAAGCAGCAAAGGCGGGGGCGGGAUGACGGGCUUCGGGUUGGAAACCGCUUUCGCUCAGGAAGAAGCUGGGUGUGACGGUAGUGGGUAAAGAAGCACCGGCUAACUACGUG